UACAGAGGUCUCAAGCGUUGUUCGGAUUCAUUGGGCGUAAAGGGUGCGUAGGUGGCGGGGCAAGUCAGGUGUGAAAUCUCGGGGCUCAACUCCGAAACUGCACUUGAUACUGCCUUGCUCGAGUACUGGAGAGGAGAUUGGAAUUUACGGUGUAGCAGUGAAAUGCGUAGAUAUCGUAAGGAAGACCAGUGGCGAAGGCGAAUCUCUGGACAGUUACUGACACUGAGGCACGAAGGCCAGGGGAGCAAACAGG
Molecule: ribosomal RNA, 253 nt
Filed under: uncultured bacterium
Lineage: Bacteria
Description: partial 16S ribosomal RNA
Rfam family: Bacterial small subunit ribosomal RNA
Source: RNAcentral